Molecule: RNA transcript, 1731 nt
Organism: Capsicum annuum
Lineage: Eukaryota; Viridiplantae; Streptophyta; Magnoliopsida; Solanales; Solanaceae
Gene name: nuclear transcription factor Y subunit C-2
Exons: 9
Source: RefSeq, a predicted model, not a curated record
AUGGGGGAGAAUGCAGUGGCGGCAGCUAGGUGCCCAAUGCAAGUACCCUGCUACCAUCUUCAACAGCAGCAACAGGAACAACAAUCGGCGGAGAAUGCAGCGACGCCAGUUGGAUACUCGAUGAAGGUACAAAUUAAUACCAGAGAAUGCAGCGGCGGCAGCUGGGUACCCAAUGCAGGUACCCUACUACUAUCUACUUCAGCAGCAGGAACAGUAUUGACGGAGAAUGUAGCAGCGGCGGCGGCAGCUGCGUACCGACUGCCGGUACCCUACUACCAACUCCUUCAGCAGCAGCAGAUGGAGGCGUUUUGGGCGUUACAACUCAAGGAAAUCAAGGAGAUGAACGAUUUCAAGAACAACAAAUUUCCGCUUGCUCGUAUCAACAGAUGAUGAUAUAUAACGAGGGUGUAUCCAAGGUCACCGCGGAAGAACCAAUGUUGUUUGCUAAAGAAUGUGAAAUGUUCAUGCAGGAACUUACUUUCCGCUCCUGGUUUAGCACGGAGGAGAACAAAAGACGGAUGUUGCAGUAGAAGGAUAUCACCAAGGCUAUUGAGCUGAUUGAAAUUUUUGAUUUCCUAGUUGACAUUGUUCUUAAGGAUGAGAUCAGGGAAGAGGGUACUGGUUUUGGGCCCAGCAUGCUUGGCUCCACAUUAAGUGGUGUUCAGAACUUCUAUCCGCCCAUAGGACAGACUGUUGCUCCAUCUGAGGCGAUGAUUAGAAGGAUUGGAACAAGUGGUGUUCAAAACUUCUAUCCACCCAUGGGGCAGACUGCUCCAUCUGAAGUGAUGAUUCGAAGGACCAUUAUGCCUAGGGUUUUUCCAUUUGUCUACAUCCAGCGUCAGGCGUGGCAGGCUGCUAAGGAUAAUACCAGUGCUAGCAGAGGGAGGAGUGGACAGUGGCAUAUCAAUGCUAGCAGAGGGAGCAGUGGACGGUGGCAAGCUGCUGAGGAUAAUAUCAAUGCUAGCGGAGGGAACAGUGGACGGUGGCAGGAUGCUGAGGAUAAUAUCAAUGCCAGCGGAGGGAGCAGUGCACAGCAUAACGUCGAUGGUCAAAGGUAUAAAGUUGUUGGGGACUACUGGGGAUUGCUAAUGUCUAAGAGCUGCUUUAAUCCGUGAGAUUGUGGUACAUUUAGUUAAUAUUUUCUCUUGUUAUGAUUUGGGAAAGUGAUGCGUUCUGGAAAUUCGAGCAAUGCACUGGAGCAGUGGUUUGGACAUGCUACUUCAUCUACCAAUCUUACUAUUGCUCUCCUACGGUGGUUCUUAGCCAGGUGCAAAUUUCUUGCUAUAAUGGAACCUUUCAAUGGAAUAACUCUGCUCCCAUUAUGCUCAUACCUUGUCAGCUUCUAGGAAAGGAGGUAUGGGUUACCCAAUUUGCGGUCUUCCAGUGAGGUGGUCUAGCUUGCCCGUUUGGAAGGGGAGAUUCAAUCAUGUGAUUAUCUGCUGACGAUCAUAUGGUACCCUACUACCAUCUCCAGCAGCAACAGGAACAUCAAUUGCGGAGAAUGUAGUUGUGUCAUGGUAUGAAUGUGAGUACCCUAUUACCAUCUUCAGCGGCAACAACAAAUGAACUAAAAUUAUUUAUAAAAUUAUAUAUUACAUGAUUUGUCAUACACGUGCGUAGCUCGUGCCAAAAAACUAGUUUUAAAUAACAUAUACGUGAAUAUAUUUUUUCUAAUUAAAAUAAAUUUUUUCUCCAAUAUAGUUCUACACAACCCAAUAUAUAUAUAUAUAU